GAGAAUGAAGAUCAGAGAUUUUCUUUUUACUGUAAACAGGAGGGGUUUCCCCCUGCUGUGUAUUUAUUUAUUAAGAAAAUGCGAACCAGCUUACAUAAAAGUUCAAGAGACAAAAAAAGGGAAAGAAAGUAAACAAAUAAGCAAAAAUUACAAGAUGGCUUCUAGCCAUUGUUGUAUGGAAGGAAAGUAUAUGUUAUAUGGAUGUAAAUAAGUACUUCUUUGCUCUGUGAAUAACCAGAGCAAACUCCAAUGCCAUAUAUAUUACACAUACAUGAUAGCCGGAGCUUGCAUUCACAUAUAUGUUCCUCACCCAACGCUAGUUGCAGUAGUUUUUUCUAGCAGGUAUAUGUAGGGGGAGAGAUCGAUCGAGAUGGAUGAUGCCAACAAUGGAUACAUCAGCAGCAUAUAUAGAAGCAAAGGAACCAACAGCAGCAAAAGGUGAAAAAAAGAAGAAGAAAGAAACCAAGGUGUGUGUGUGACCCCAAGGAUGCAAAACCGAACGAACAGGUUGAGAGGCAGCAGCAGGCAGCCAUAUGCCAUUAGCUCACGCAGGAGCUAGCUAGCAGUUUAAUCACUCGCUGCCCGCGGGCUUGUAGGCGAUGAAGCUGACGCACUGCGUCUGCUUGAUGUUGUCGAAGCCGAGGAUCCGGACGUAGGCGUCCGGGUAGGAGGCGAUGGCCUCCUGCAGCUCCUUGUAGACCUGCGACGCGUCGGUGCAGCCGAACAUGGGCAGCUUCCACAUGGUCCAGUAGCGGCCGUCGUAGUAGCACGGGGAGGUGGAGUUCUCGCGGUACACGAAGCCUUCCUUGCUGAACUCGAGGCAGGGCACCCAGUUGUUGCGCAGCAGGUAGUCCACCUGCUUCAGCAGCUGCUCCUCCGUCAGCGGCGGCAGGUACGACAGCGUCUCGAACUUCUUGUUCCCGUACGCCGGCCACACCUGCAAAUUAAUGCAUGCAUCGAUCGAUGUACGUGUUUGUGGUUGCAUUUCGCUAGCUCUGCUGCAAAGAAUGAAUGAAGAUGGCCGGCCGGAGCCAAGAACGAAAGGCCAACUAGCUCUUGUGUUAAUUAUGUUGUUAUUACCUGCAUGCACCGGAUCCUGCCGCCGUUGCUGACUUUGGCGAGGCUGGUGGUGGAGCGGCGGGCGACGGGGAGGGUGGCGGUGGACUUGAGACCCUGGAACGGAGCGACGGCGGUGGCGGACGAGGCCAUCACGGUGGGCGCCAUUGCUGCUGCUAUGUAGUACUAGUAGCUAGUGAGGGAGCGAGCUGAGAGUGAGCUGCUUGCUGUUUUUGCUGCUUCUUGCUGCUUGGGUCGUCCUGUAGGCUCCCCCACCGAGGGCAUAUAUAGAAGAGGCAGCGAGCGUGCGUCCAUGGCGACGGAUGGCUGUCGUUGGGGCAAGGACGGAUCGGACGAAUGAAGCGGAUGUGGGAGGAGUGGCCACCGUUGUCCCAUGGCGGGCAACCCGGCCAGCCUGGCCUAUCCUGAUCGCGUCCGCCGCCACAUGUCGCGUCCCCGUGGCGCGCCUUAUCGUCUCAGCCAGCCAACAUGUCCAUGGAGCCACGCCACGCCACGCCAUGGUUGGACUAUAUGUGAUGUGCCACCACUUUAAUUAUUUGUAGAUAGAUAGAUAGAUAGAUAAGCUAGCCGCAGGUAGUAGUGCAGUGGUGAAAGUCACUACUACUGACUGCAAACCAAAAUUUCCCUGGCCGUGCCCGGACUCGCUCGCUGUCUCCGAUUAAACCUAGGUAUAUGUUGAGCAGGACGUCCCCUGGCCGUCGCCAUGGCCGGACUCGCUCGAUCUCUAGGAUCCGAGGUGGUCCUGCUCUGCUCCGUCGUCGGCGAAGAUGAAGACACACCCACUCGUCGUCCCCUUCCUCAUGCAAAUCUGCGCCGCACAAGCUGUUUCCAAAAUUUCGCUGGCCGUGGCCGGACUCGCUCGCUAUCUAUCUCCGGUCUCCCGUCGCCGAUCAAACCGAUCGAGCAGGACGUCGCCGCCGUGGCCGGACUCGCCCUCUAGCUCGUCGUCCACGAUCGAGCCAGGAUCCGGCCGAGGUGGUCGUGGUCCUGCUGCUCGGUCGGUGAAUGACUGACUCGUCCCCUUCCUCCUGCUGCAAAUCUCCGCCGGACGCAUGCAUCCGCCGUCUCUCUCAAGCAGAAGCAGUUCCAUUCAGCUCGAUCGUCGUGGUUUGUGAAAGGAUAAGUGAAGAACGACGACAAUGGAAGGGGAAAAAAAGACAAACAGUUUUGGGCUUGGGCUUGCUUCGGCUGCGUCUGCUUGCUCUUCGCCUCUAGUGCUCUCGUCCCUCUCACAUGUUCUACUACAUUCUACACGGACGGCUGCUCCGGACCACCUGAUGAUGCACUGAUGAUCACGGCCUGUUUGGAUCUAUAGAAUUAAUUGGGCUGAAUUUGGAAUCAGUUUCAUGGGUCUCGGCUAGUUUGGCUGCGCAUUGAACUGGAAAGUGACAUUCCAAGCUGUUCCAGAGCCUGAAUUUGUGGCCUAGCUACCUCAAAUUCAUGGGCUAUCCAAGACAAAACGAGUCCGCCUCCUCAUUGUCUUCAUCGGGCGUACGACGCUUCAUUCCUCAACCAUUUGACCUGUUCUAUAUUUCUAAAAAGAAAAGCCGCCCGCCUUGACCAUUACGAAAAAUACAUAAACGAUUCGCUAAAGUUGCAUUUAAAUUCCCCACGUUUGUCAUUUCUAAAGAUAAAUUUAAAAAGCCUUCUAAAUUGCAAUUAAUUACCGAAACAUGCCUAAAAAUGCGUCUGCAUUUUUUUUUACUAUGAAAGGUACUAGACACAUAUUCACGCAUUGCCGCGGGAUUUUCUUAAAAAUAAUCUGUUUUGUAUAUAGCAAUGCUAUAUGGUAUUCUGUAUAUUGUGUGUAUAUUUAUGAAUUUGACUUGCAUGUUAUUUUAUUGUAUCGGAUCUAGUAAAAAAACAAUAAGCUAAUAGAAAAAACCAAUAAAAUAGUUGAUUGCGUUAUACAAGAAUAGGUGAUGAAACAAAUAACAUAUGUAAAUAACUUUACAUCUACAUAAUAGAGAUGAUGAGGAUAUUUUUUGUAAUUAAUAAGGGAUGACAUUUACGUUAAUAGGUUAGAGAUUAAAAGUAUUGCACAUAAUAAAGAUGAUGUGAAUAUAUUUUAUAAUUAAUAAGAGAUAUUGUGUAAUUCGAAAAAAAGGAUGCAUGACAUGGAUAGCUUGCAUGAAAGGAUUGCAAGUUAGUGGGACACUUAUGGGGUGUUUGAAUCUUGGGACUAAAGUUUAGUCCUUGUCAUAUGUUGGGUACUAAUUAGUAGAAUUAGACAUGAGCUAAUUAUAAAACUAAUUACAUAAGUUGUGGCUAAUUCACAAGAAAAAUCUAUUAAGCCUAAUUAAUCCAUUGUUAACACAUGUUUACUGUAGCACCACAUUGUAAAAUCAUACACUAAUUAGGCUUAAUAGAUUCGUCUCAUAAAUUAGCUACAAUCUAUGUAAUGAGUUUUGUAACUAGUGUAUAUUUAAUAAUACUCUAAAUUAGUAUACAAACAUCCAAUGUGAUAGAAACUAAAGUGAGGGAUGAUAUUAACACCUUGCAUUCAGAGAGAAAACAUCUAGUCGGGUCCAGCUUUAUAAAAGUAUAUAGAUUACAAAGUAACACUAAAUGUGCCUUUUUAGAUUACAUAUAUCUAAACAAUGUAAAUACGCCACAAAUGUUUGUCUUACCUAUAAUAUAUAUUGUACAAAAUAAUUCAGUAACCAUAAAAAUAUGCUAUAUAUAUUUCUAUACACAUUCUACCAUUGUAAAAUUAAAAGUAAGCAUUAAUGCUACGGGUCAUCAUGUAGACAAAGUAAACAUGCUAUUGAUACGAUAAACAAUUUACAAUGAGUCAUCUAGCCAUUUUUCUGGCUAGGAACUCAACGAAAUGGGCAAAACAGCUAUUUAAAUGGGCGUCAAUGGUCGAAUAAACAGAAAUGACAGACCACCAUGCAAUGUUCAAAUGAGGUUUAAGCAGGCUAAGUGAUGGUUUACUCGAACCAUGGUACAAACAUAGCAAAAAACAAAAAAAAACAUUACAACAAGCAUUAGAAAAAACAUAUAGCUUGUUUCUACUGUCCCACCGCAAAAACCACCUAAAGCUAUGAUUAAGCUUUUCAAAAUUUAGGGAUUUUUUUGUAAAUAAAACUGACCCUGUAAAUAUUUUUCAAAACCAAGAACUAAAAUGUUGUAGUUCUUACCUCCAAAUAAUUACAGAAAAGCUUAGAGGUCUUUUUUGUAAAAUUGUCAUUUUCAAAAUGAUUUUAAAUCUAAAAAUGUUAUGACAUAAUCAAUUGGAUUAAUGACAUUAGCAUAUAUUUUUGAAAUGAAUUAAUCAUUUCAUAAGAGAAAUAAUUUGGUUAGGGACUUGUUUGUAAAUAACCUUAGAUAUCUAGAUGGCAAUAGCUCCGCCGGUCUUUUGCCAAAAUAGUGCUUUGGCGGUUGUGAUCAUCAGCAAGCGAUAGAGAUAGCUGAGCAAGCCACGAUGAACAAGGGGAGGUUACCUUUAUAAUGAAGAGGCACAAGAGGAGGAGAUAGGGAGGGUGGUUAGCACCUCUGCUUGAGGUUGGCGGCGGCACAACUGCACAACGAUAGAGGCUGGGCAAUGGGUGGCACACUAGAGUGAGAUUGCUCGGGUGGAGGAAUCUUAUAUAUGGUGGUGGUGGAAUUUCUUGAGGACGCCGGAGAUGGGAGAAAAAGGUUGCUGAAGUCUUGCUAGAAAAAUCGCUAGCAAAAAGUCUUGUUUUAGAUCUAUAGAGUUUUUGGUGAUGCCUCAAGAAAUGGAUUCUAGAUCUGUGAUCAUCGCGAUGAGGACAAAAGGUUCUAGGAAAAGUACUAGAGAUAGAAGGAUGAGAAACUAAGAUUUUAGAGAUCAUUAGAAGUUUUGUUUCAAAGCUUAAAAUUUUAAAAUAUUAGUCUUAAUGGUAGGAGGAAUUGAUAAAUAUUACUCAAGUUAAGUCCUUCUACCCCGGUAUGUAUUCUACCACUGGAUUUUAACUUAUUUGGUUGAUUGCUCUCCCCACCGGACACGUCAGCCUAUACCCUUUCAUGUAGAGAAACACUAGUGUUUGCUAAAGGAAUAUUGAUAUGGAAACUUUUUUUCACCGUUUUACAUACCCGACGAAACACACACCCACGCACCCCAUGACCCAUGAGCCCGCCAUGGCCAACGGCCCAUAAGUGUCGCCGUUGUUGAUAAAGACGAGCUCGCUGGUGUUAGGGUUCUAGGUUUAGGGGACUCCAUGUCCGGCGGCCUUACAAAGGGAAGGGAGCUAGCGGUGGCGGCUAGCCUUGCGGUGGUAGCGGGUUGAUGUAGCAAGCAAGGUGGUGGGGGUGUUAUCGAUCGGAAGGUGGGAGACAACCGGUUGGCGGGGGCGAAGGUCAAGUGUCUUCCUCCUCGUGCUAAGAUUAGCGGAGGGUGAGGUGGUGUGAUGGGGCGGGCCAGCCGCGGCGGAGGCGCCACUGGCCGAGGCGGUGGGCGUGGAACUGUGGAAGGUGGAGGUGGGGUGUGAGCAGGGUUUAGAAAGAUGACGAGGUUGGAGCGGAGGUUAACGAAGAAUAACACAGGACGGGAUGGGGUAGCGCGUGAACCCGUCACGCAUUAACGUGGUCCCUUCAACAUGAGGAGCAGAUCGAGCGCCCAUCACGGCGUGGAUGCGCUCGGCUGUCUUGCACUCUCGCCGUCGCUGUCGUCGUUUGUCCGACGCCCUGAAUAGUAAAUCCUUCCCGGGUUAAACUAAUCGACUCGCCAUCUCCGUUCUCCCGUCGUCCCCGAUUAAACCGAGGUAUAUAUUGUGACUUACAGGACGUGGUGGGCGUGUCCGUGGCCGGACUCGCUCGCUAGCUGCUCGAUCGUGCACGAGCCAGGAUCCGACGAGGUGGUCCUGCUCCGUCGGUGAAGACUCCUCUACUCGUCCCCUUCCUCGUGCAAACCUGCGCCGCACAAGCUCAGCCGUAAGCUGCUCAGGCUGCCGUAAGACGCCGCAUGCAUCCGCCGUCUCUAUCAACUCUCAACCAGAUAGGCUCGUCGUCGUUUGUGAAAGGAUAUAAGUUAAGGACGCCAUGGGCAAAGGACAAAGGAAAUUAAAAGAUAUUUAUUUCAGUUUUGGGCCUUGGACGUACUUUCAGCUGCGUCUGCUUGCUAUUGUAGUCUGGCCUCUCUCACCUGUGGUGUGGGUGCCGCUUGUCGUGACUAUCGAUCUUCCUUGAUAUUGCUAAUUGGCACGACUCAAGCAGAAGAACAAGACAAAAAAAAGUUCACACACAACUUCCUUGUCGUGAUUAUCUUCAUUAAUAUUGCUACUUGGAGGCUUCUCAGUAUAUCUACGUCAAUCCUUAUGAGAUGCGGAAGGAAAAUUGACAAAUCGUGUAGGCAGUUUCAUAAAAAAAAAUCAGAAACAUCUAGCUUUUAAUUUUGUAGAUUUCAAUCAUCGCCACUAGUAAUACACCGUUCGACCUAUUCUCUUUUUCUAAAAAAAAUACCCAUCCGCCUCGACCAUUACGAAAAAUACAUAAACUAUUCCCUAAAGAUGCAUUUAAAUUUCCCAUUUCUCAUUAUGAAAGCUAAAUUUAAAAAAACCUCCUCACAUCGUAUUAUUUAAUUAACGAGACAUGCCGUUAACACUAAGUUUGCAUUUAUAUUACACACAUCUACCAUUAUAAAAAACAAUGUAAAUUCGCUAUUGUCCUACUUAUGCAUCUACACAAUUAACUAAAUAUCCUUCAAAUGUUUGACGUAAUACCAAUAUAAUCCAUUAUAGAAAACAAUCCAAUAACCAUAAAAAUGUCCUAUAUAGAUUUCUAAAUUACACAUUCCUUCUACCAUUGUAAAAUUAAAAGCUAGCAUUAACGUUGUGUUUCACCAUGUAGACAAGGUAAACAUGCUAUUUUAAUAGUUUAUCACUUAUGAAAAAUGUUCCCUAACCGAGAACAUACCAAUGACAUAGACACAAUUCACUUUAAGUUAUAUUAAUAUUUCAUGAUAACACUUUUUGUAGGUUUAAUCAGUUUAUAAAUGUAAAUGAAAUAUUAUCACUUAUAAAUACGUUAAUUUAAUUUAUGCUAUCUAUGUUUUCAUAAUACAAUAAUAUUACUACACUAUACAAUUCUUAUUUGUAGUAAAAAGAUUCAACAUCUUUAGGGUCGUGGCGCAGGUUAAAACAAUUUUUUAUGUUAUUGUAGUAACUAAGAGCCUAGUUAAGGCUGCAGAAUCUAUUUUUGAUUAAAAUAUAAAAUAUAAGAUUGAUAUUUUGAAUAAAAGAUACAAUAAGCACUAGACUCAACUUAACACGUGGAUAAGACAAUUGCAACAACUAAUAAAUCAGAAGUGAAAGUCAAAAUAGAUAUGAAGUCGCAAAAAUGUAUGUGACAAGAGCUAAUAUAACUGAAAUUUAGGAUUUAGCUAAAUACACAUUAAAGGCCCACAGAGGUGUAAUGCAGAUGAUGAAAACACAUAUAGACUUACUGGUAAAUUUUGACAAUCGGAUUAUGAUUCUAGAGUAUCUAAAGGUUUUGUGUUUGUAAGAUGAAUUCAGUGAAUAUAGAGAGUAAAGAUCAUCAUUUUGUUUAGGUUUUAUGUAGACUAUUUGUUUAGAUUUAGUAUAACACAGACACUUACAACCACACACACUAACCCCUAUAAACACACACAUGCAAACCCUAGACCUAUGAGGUACCUUCUAAGACGGGACCGACAAAUCCUCGAGACGAGAUUGAUGAAGUCACCACAAACGCUUUAUUGUCAAUGUGAACAUCAUCUACCACUGAAAUCAUAAAGUCGUUAAAUCCUAGAAUAUUCGCUCCUACGGGGAGUCAAACUUAGGACCUCAGGUGCUAUUGAGGUUCUGUGACCACUAGGCUACAUGCACUAAUUUACACAUAGAACUUCAAAUACAUCCCUAAAUACGAGAAAAUUGUAGAAAUCAUCUGUGUAGCAGUGCAACUUGGUGAUGCAAGCUUUUGUAUAUGAAAAAUAGGAGAAGAGAACAUUGCUGUAUGUAAAUGGAUUUCAGUUAUGCUUUUUUCUUGUGUUAAUAUUCUUAAUAAACAUAUUCUGUCCUGUGCAUGAAAAACAGAGGUUGGCAGCGCAAGGGGGAGAAAACAGAAUGAGAAGAAAGAGGCUCUGAUCCUAACCAUUGCUGGUUGUUCCUUGGAUGGCUGAGAGAUGCUGCUAGUGCUACUACUGCUUAAUUAUGUGCAGUAGCAGCACCCGAUCUUGAUCGCUCACAGUGGUGAGCCAGUCUUUAUUGGGUCUUGUUUAGUUCCGAAAAGUGAAAAGUUUUCGGUAUUGUAGCACUUUCGUUUGUUUGUGACAAAUAUUAUUUAAUCAUGGACUAACUAGGAUCAAAAGAUUCGUCUCGUGAUUUACAGCUAAACUGUGUAAUUAGUUUUUGUUUUAAUCUAUACUUAAAUGUUUCAUGCAUGUGCCACAAGAUUCGAUAUUACGGAGAAUCUUAAAAACUUUUUGAUUUUCAGGGUGAACUAAACAAGACCUUGGUCUAUAUAGACCAUUUUUCCUUUAUAUUGUGGCUGCCCUAUGUGCCUCAUGCAGUCAUGCAGGUCUCUCGAACUGUCACCUAUCUGACCGGGUAACAGUUUGUCUCCCUAGAGAAGCAAAGCCUUGAUCAAUUCCAAUGAAAGUCGUCGGUCCGGAACCCAAGAAAAUUAAGUUAUAGUGUUUGCAGUUCAGGCAGACAUGCAUGCACAACAAUCAAUUGAGCCUGCAGAAGGCAGGCAUGGAAAUGCAAAACCAUAGGCUGCUAUAUAUCCAGCGCCAGCUAGCCCAUGCAUGGUACGUGUGUACGUGCAUCAUCCAUGGCACCAAAUUAAACAGGUAGCCCCCGUCUCGCCUCUAAAUUUUGCAGGGGAAGCAGCAUUGUAGCAAACCCUACUGCCUCGGAUUUAUAUAUUCCUAGAACAAUUUCAUUUAUUGGUCCUGGGUAAGCCAUUUUUCAGUGUCAACAAUACGAAGCUAUAGGCUCAAAAAGUCAAAUAUAUAUUUGCAACAUAAGGUUAACAUUACUGCUAGAUGGACCAUCACAAAAGUACUUUUCAUAAUAUUUACAGAAAAUAUAUCAUGGAGUAAUAUAACUCUAUUUAAGAUAAUAUAUUGUUUGGGAUGUCAUAUGCGAGCAUGGACUAUUACUUUGUAGAUCUGUGUGUUCUCCUAAGGUUGCUAAUAUUAAGCGGUUCGAGAGUACUCCAAACCUCCAUACUGAAUGUUCAUCAGCCUAGUUGGCAUCACAGUAUUAUAUCACCUGAAGGUUCCAACUCACUGAUUACAUCAGCAUCUCCAAGAGUUUCCAAUAAUUUUUCCCAAAACCACAGAGUUUUCUAUCUCGCCAAAAAUUAUUAGGAUGAAUAAAUAAGACCAUCUCCAACAGUUAACAAUAAUCUACUCCUAAAAUAUAAAAAAUAAGUUUUACAUUAGGAAUCCUAUACUAUUUCUAAAUUAUCCAAACCACUUUUACAUAUUAUUUCUCUUUUUUAUAUUUGUAUCAGAAACCAUUUACUACUCUUUAUUAUUUCUCACAUCCUUCCACCUUUAUAGUGGCCGAUGGAUAUGCACGCGCGUGGUAGACGCGUGGAUAUAUUUGCGUGAUCGGUCUUUUUUCCAAGCAUGGAAGGAUUGGGAGGUGAGAUUGGGAACUAAUGGAGAUAGAUUUUUUCCAUUCUUGCCAAAAAUCUUAGAUUGGGAGGCUUUAUUGGGAACUCUUGGAGAUGCUCUAGGAAGCAAUGCUAGCACGAGCCAUAAACAUGCAAGUAUCGAUGUGGAGUCAAUAUGGCAAGAUAUUAGUCUUGCUAUACCUUAAUUGGAUAGCUAGAAUUAUUUACUCUUCCUCUUCUUUGCUUAGUCUAUAACCUAUGCCACCCUGUAAGCCCUAGAGCAAUAAGCCAUUCAAAUGGAGGACGGAUAUCAAUUCACUUGAAACUUUAUAUGGGCUAUGGUUUCAUUCACAUGUUCAUCGACCAAGUGCAGCGAGUGACAUGUGGGCCCCAUUUUCAAAAACCUCUCAUUGUGGCCCCAAGACUCUGCCAAUGAACUCGAGUUGAAUGGAAAGAAAUCACAAUGCCCCACACAACAAAGGGUGAUGGGUGGGCAUAGUGUGGAAGCAUCAUGCUGCAUAUUUAGGAGGUAGAGGUUAUGUGAAGUGGUGGUGUGCAUAGUGCGCAUGAGGGGUCUGGCAGGUAGGCUAGCUAGAGCAUAGUUGCACACUAGUGGCCAGUGGUAUGACCUAUCAAGAUGGAUAGGAAUAGAGUUAGCAAGUCUAAGGCCAGAUACAUAUGGCAAUUUGAAGUGUUUUUGUUUCCACUUUGAGUAUUUGAUUCAAAAUUAUUUUUCACAAAUUUCUCAUGCUCUUUGCUAUGUUAUCUACUGGCCCAUAGUUCAAAUUUAUUUUAUUUCCUUUACCACUGUGCAAGAAUUUGCUUUGUUAUCCACCUGCCAAAGUUUAGUUUGGAUGUAUGAUCUCUUGGAAGUCUUCAGGUCUAUUAAUUGAUGGUGAGGUUGGUUUCUUGGUCAAAUUACCUCAUGCUGGCAAGAUAUUUCCAUAGGGAUGCGCUCGGGCACAACAAGGCACACAAGUGUUGCUGAAUAUGGUGAUAAGGUGUGGAAAAGAUAUAAUUGGACACAUGCGAGUUGUCUAGACACAAUGCAUGGUUCACCAUGUCGAGGAGAUUUGAUACCGAAGAAAGGUGAUAUUUUCAUCGAUUAUGAGGAAGACAUCGAUGGACAACAUGACAACUCAUAUUGUAGGCAUGUGCGGCUUCUUGUGUUGCUCUGAUAGUUCCAAUGGCAUGAGACUAUGAUACAACCAGUGGGGCAAUAUGGGUGACAUGAUGAGUGGAAUAAGUGACAGCGUGGGGGAUGACGAUGCUAGGCAAGGGUGAUGUAUCAGUGAGGCCUGAUAGGUGAAAUGCAACUGAUGCCCUUGGCUAGAGUGGAUUGAGAGGGUAUGGGUGGUGGUGGGGGUGGAUCCAAGUAGGUUUAGGAAAUUAUAAAGGUUUCAUUCUUUUAGAGUAGUCCCAAUGAAUAACUACUUAGUAGUAACAUGGCAUAUAGACACCAAGUAAGAAAUUAUAGCUCACAACAGUGCACAAUCUCUAAUUGUGGCUACAAUGUAAAUUCUCCAAUCAUCUUUUUCAUGUUUCUCCUCCAAUCAUCUUCCUCCCCACUCCCAUAUUCUGCCUUGUUAUUUGUAAUACCAAUUCCAAUAGAUUUCAUGUUGUUUCUUGAACUUUGGUUCUAGUCGAAGGCCUAGUUUCUUGCAAGACACCCAAUUUCUUUAUGUUCUCAUCUCUAUCAUGUUUAAUGUUGUUGGCACCUCAGCAAAAUGUCCAACAUGGCAUCAUAUUAAAUGGCAUGAAAAUUAUCCUCUUCAUAGAAUAAGGACAGCCCUUGGUCGAUUUAGACUAAAUUUAGAAUUGGUUUUCAAUUUGAGUUAGGUUUGUACCAUCAAGAGUACAUUUCACACACACAAUUCAUGAAAGCACAUAAAUGCAUAUUCACUACCGGAAUCCGCAUCUUUGCCGAGUGUUAAAUACUUUGCUGAGUGUUUAUUUUUGGGCACUCGGCAAAGAAACUCUUUGCCGAGUGUCAAAAAAAAACACUCGGCAAAGACUUCUUUGCCGAGUGUCAAAAAAUAAACACUCGGCAAAGAAAAUUUUAAAUCGAAUUUUAAAGCCCUAAACGAAUUCAAAUCAAAAAGUUUUUAACUACAAAGUUGUAUAACUUCUCAAGAUCUACAACAUUUAUUUUGAUCAUUUCUUCAUUUGACAAAGCAAAAAUAAAUUUGUUUACAAAUUUUACAUCUCUCUCUUAUAGUUUAUGAAAUUACAAGAGAGAUAUAUAAAGAUUUUAGAAAAAUAUUAGAAUCUCCAUGUCGGAUAAAUAUAUGACAAAAUAACCAAAAUAAACUCUGUAGAUCUUGAGAAGUUAUGAAAUUUUGUAUUUGACAACUUUUUCAUUUGAGUUCAUCUUGUCAUGCAAAACCACGUUUUUAAUUGAAAAUUUUAAAAUUUGAAUUUUUUAAACAACCUCGGAUGGAAAAGAUCUCUAAAUAAACUUUGUAGAUCUCAAAAAGUUAUGAAACUUUGUAGUUGACAACUUUUUGUUUUGGAAUCAUCUUGUCAUGCAAAAACUACGUUUGAAUUUCUUAAAUUUAAAAUUCAAAAUUUGUAAACAACCUCGGAUGGAGAAACUUCCUAAAUAAAAAUUGUAGAUCCUAAAAAGUUAUGAAACUUUGUAGUUGACAACUUUUUGAUUUGAAAUCAUUUAGGACCUUAAAUAAUCAUUCUACACAUAAUUUGGUAUAAUAUUUGAGGAACCGAAAUACAAUACAAGCACAAGUCAUAGUGUGGUGCAGUGGUUAAGAGGGAGUACGCACAAGCAAGAGGUCACGAGUUCGAAUUCCAUAAACCGCGAAGAUCCAAAAAAUUCCAGAACUUAGCUGGCAAGAAGAGGCCGUUGGGAGCUGGAAAAAAAGAUUUUUUUUUCUCUUUUUUUUCGGAUUUUUUUGGUUUUUUUUGAAUUUUUUCGUUUUUAUCUUUGCCGAGUGUUUUUAGGCCUUUGCCGAGUGCCACGGACACUCGGCAAAGCGUGAGUGUCCCGUAGUGAUUGUUGUGUUUAAUGUAGUUUUUCCAACGUUUAUAGAAUUUCAAAUUGGCUCCUUUUAACGUGGUUUCAAUUCUAUUUGCGCCAAAUUGAAUUGAUUGAUUUAGGCCUUGUUUAGUUCCCAGAAAAUUUUGCAAAAUUUUUCACAUUCCCCGUCACAUCGAAUCUUUAGGCGCAUGCAUGGAGUAUUAAAUAUAGAUAAAAAUAAAAACUAAUUGCACAGUUUAGUCGGAAUUGACGAGACGAAUCUUUUGAGCCUAGUUAGUCCAGAUUAGACAAUAUUUGUCAAUACAAACGAAAGUGCUACAGUGUCGAUUUCCCAAAAUUUUUUGGAACUAAACAAGGCCUUAAGGAUUUCACACUUACAAGUACAUCCUGAUUCAACAAGUUGAAAGACAGAUCAAGAGCCAGAGCUACCACAACGGUAGUUUCCAGUUGCCUGUAAUGCCACUGAUGAUAUCUCAAAUUUGCUAGGGUAUCUAGCGUUCGAUCCACGAUCAAAUAUAGGCUGUUUGUGUAGAUAUUAAAAUGAAGAGAAAGGGAAUAUAGAUCGAUCCAUCAGAGAAGCAUUGAAGCAGUGCAAUAGAUAUAUGUCAGCAAGUUGGCCGUAAAGCAAAUGCAAGGCCGCAAGGGCAAGGGCGGCAUUGGUAGUUAAUAUAUACUGCCACAAACAGGUGCAUAUAUAAAUUAGGUUUUGAAUAAGCUACAGAUAGAUGCGCGUUAUAUAUACUGCAUUGUAGCAAAAAAGGUUAGUCGUCGUAAUAGCUAGGGCACGUACGAGCAUAAGAAGAAUUAUUGCAAAAAAGCAAAGCGGAGAGGGAGAGCUAGCUACACUGCAGAUCGAUAGGCAGCGCAUGCAGCAGCAGCCUCUGCUCCUUACUACGGCCUUGUUUAGUUCACCCCGAAAUCCAAAAAGUUUUCAAGAUUCUCCGUCACAUCGAAUCUUGUGGCACAUGCAUGAAGGAUUAAAUUUAUACGAAAACAAAAACUAAUUACAUAAUUUGUCUGUAAAUCGCGAGACGAAUCUUUUGAUCCUAGUUAGUUUAUAAUUGGAUAAUAUUUGUCAAAUAAAAUCGAAAGUGCUGCAGUAGCGAAAUCCGAAAUUUUUUCAGAACUAAACAAGGCCUACGUUUUAUUGCUCUUGAAUCUCGACGCAUGGACGAAGCAGCAGCAGCCUCCUCUGCUUGACUUGAAUGGUACUGUACGUACCACAGCAGCUCCACUCAGCUGGAUGAUCAUGCAUCAUGCAGCUAUGGCCGUGGAUUCGUCGUCUCGGUAUCCACGCUAGCUGCUAGAGAUUCUUCGGCUUCUUUAUUUGAUGCAUGCAGCAGCAUUCGCUUUGAUAGAGAAAGAUCGAUAGGUCAGAGGGCUCUGGAGAGGAAUGGGAGGGGACAGCAUGCUACAGACAUGAAGCUUAGCUUGCCACCUAGUAUGUAGUGUAGGCCGGCCGGGAACCCAACUUCCAUGCAUGCGUGCAUCGUGCGUGAAUCCAUGACGGGUCACUAGCGCUUUGCAGCAAGCUCAGAUGCUCACGUACUUGUACGGCCUUGUUUACUUCCCAAAAAAUUUUACAAAAUUUUUCAUAUUUCCCGUCACAUCGAAUCUUUAGACGCAUGUAUGGAGUAUUAAAUAUAGACGAAACUAAAAACUAAUUGCAUAGUUUAGUCGGAAUUGAUGGGACGGAUCUUUUGAGCCUAGUUAAUCUAUGAUUGGACAAUAUUUUUCACAAACAAACAAAAGUACUACAGUACCUGUUUUGCAAAAUUUUUUGGAACUAAACAAGGCCGCAUGGACGUCGUCGGACGACACUGCAGACACAGUAGUAUCCUGCAGGAGGAGCAUUCCAUCCCACUCCAGUAUUCACCCCUUGGAUCGAAAUACCUGCAGGCUGCAGCAAUGCAUGGGAGAAAGUGUAGUUGCAUGCUCUCCGGUCUCUACUGGUAGUACGCAAGAAGUAACUUGCAUGGCGCCAAAUGACAAGCUAGUGUGAAGAGCUUUGUCUGCAGCAAAUUAUAUUACUGUAUUUAUCUAGCGAAAUAUUGAGAAUCAAAAUCUUAGCAACUAGUUUAUUAUAUUCAACCCAAAACCGCAAAUAUAUGCACAUGCAUAUUAUUAUUAAUUAAUCAUGCAUGCAUGCACAAUCUCUCUCGAUCUCUCUCCUGUCUAGCUAGUAUAAGGCCCUGUUUAGUUCCCCACCUAAAAAUUUUUCAUCCAUCCCAUCGAAUCUUUAGACACAUGCAUUGAACAUUAAAUGUAGAUAAAAAAAAAAUAAACUAAUUACACAGUUUAGUUGAGAAUCGCGAGACGAAUCUUUUAAGCCUAGUUACUCCAUGAUUAGCCUUAAGUGCUACAGUAACCCACAUAUGCUAAUGAUAGAUUAAUUAUGCUUAAUAAAUUUGUCUUGCAGUUUCCUGACGAGCAAUGUAAUUUAUUUUUUUAUUAGUUUCUAAAAACCUCUCCCGACAUCCUUCCGACAUAUCCGAUGUGACACUCAAAAAAUUUUCAUCCCCAAUCUAAACAAGCCCUAAAUAUGGUAUAGGUCAGAAAAAAAACAAAAGAGCAAGAAGAGAACAAAAUGAAGAUAUACUCACAUAGUUUCCUCCCUCUCCCUCAUCAUAACCUUAUGAUGUGAUGUCCAAUCAGCACCUUAUCAUAAUGUGGUGCCCAAUCAGCAGUCUACAUCAUAUCGGCACAACAAGGGUUGUGUUACAGGGCAUAUAUGAGCUGAGUGUCUCAUUCCCCGGCCCCCAUCCUCUCUCUCUCUCUCUCUCUCUCUCUCUCUACACAAUGGCCGUACUAGCAGGCAGACAAACAUUGAAACGGUUCUGUCCAUAGUAAAAAGGAAAGAGGUUUGAAGAGGAAAUUCAAGAGAAUGAAUGCAUUCAAGUUUUCCAUGAAUGCAAUGCCAGUGGCUAGGGACAGCAGUGCGCAAUAACGUGUCCUCCCAUCCUGUCCCUCCCUCUCUCUCUUCUAUUCCCUUCUGCGCAUUCAAGUAGUAGUAUCUAUCUUGCCCUCUUCCAAAUAAGAUAUCUGUAAAGAUUUAUCUGCAUGUAAGGGCUUCCAAAUCCCCACUAGUAUACAUAUAUAUGACCAUACUAAUUAAUAAAAUGUGACGUCUCACACAUGCAAGUGUUAUGCAUUUUAAUAUCUCUAUGAUGCCAUUUUAGCUGUCGACUAUUUCAUCUCACUACCAUUGUAACCUCCAACAUGGUUCACUUCACUACUACUAUACAUAUAUGAUUUUUACAAACACGUCCUAAUUUUUUGAGGGGGUGCUUAACUUAGCAAACCAUUCCUAACUAGUUCCGAGAGCAUUGUAGCUUACAAAUAAACUAUCCAUGGAAAUAUAUUUUCAGGGCCACUCUUAUAUAUCCAUUUUCAGGGGCACUCUUAUAUUUCCAUAUGGAUGAAUCUGAUGUAGGCAAGAGCAAGCUAAAGAGGGUGAAAACAGUACAUUAGAACACAAAAUACUUCUUCAGGCCAUUCACAUUUCAAUUGUUGGCUCGGCCUUUCUGUUCUGUCGUAGAUCGUUUCUCCCUUUGUGGAAGAACCAAAGUUGAUGCCAAACCGAGUGAAUUAAGCCAAUAGUGAAGCCACAAUGUGUCCACAUCUGAUUGUUAACACGCCAGAUGGAGCUAGCAGUGUACAGUACUUACAAAUGAGAUGUGUGUGUGUGUGUGUGUGUGGGUGGGGGGGGGGGGGGGGUGUUGUGGAAGGUAGUCAGCAUGAAACCAUUUUUUUGAACAAGAAAUUCAUGAUCAUAUUUAUACAAAAGAACUUUCAAAUUUGAAUGCGAUGUGUUGUACGUCUUCUAAUACAAAAUCUACUACACACUUGGCUAUCUUUUUGAUAUAAUAUCGCAAGAUUUGAAUCUUUGAAUGUGUGUGUCCAUGCUUUAUAAAAGAGAAAUAGGGAGCAAUGUGUAUGGAUAAACUUUUCAAAAACUAUACCAAAUUAGGAGAAAUUAUGUGACUUUAUCUAUGAAGAAAUAGACACCAAAAUUCACAUGAACAAGGACUUGAUUGAACCCCAGUGGUCUCUAGGCUUAUUACAUCCACACUCUCAACUAACUAGGUUAGCUACACUCUCAACUAACUAGGUUAGCUAGGAUGUUUGUAAAUGUAAUAAAAAAUGUGUAAAUAUCCUCAUUUAAGUUUAGUAGGAUGGAAUAUCUGUGCAUGCAUGCAAUUUACAUGAGCUCUCUCCCAGCAUGGAACUAUAUCUCUUUCUAAACUUAAUAAUAAAGAGUGAAAUUCUUUUCUUCAGUCUCUCACUCUCUCCUCCAUCCACCCGCCCCUCAUGUAGUCUCUCUUUUACUCACUGUCACCCUUCUUGCUUUGAGUUGGAGGUGCAAAACUUCCGUUGGUGCCACACCACUCAUGUAAUGGUCUAGCCGUCGGAGCCAUUCAUGUUGCGGCAUGCGUGUGAAUGGUGUGGUUCACUUUCCACCUUUUUAUCAACUUACUACAAGUGAAGCACACACAAUAAGGACAUAUUUAAGUUGAUUUAAUCCUCUCUGUCAUUUAUCAGACAAGAUUAAUUCCUGUUUUAUUACAACAUUAACAUUUAUAAUGGGCAUUAGAAUAUGUUGGGCUCCAAUAUAAUUAAACCCAACAAAAAUAUCUAACUCAUUAUCAUCGCCACAAAACGGCACAAUAAUUGUACAUUCCACUGCAAUGGUCAUGCUUGUUAGUAUCCCAAAGAAAGCCAAAGCUAGCAACCCUAAUUAACAUGCAACUUUUUUCUCUCCAUACAAAUUUAUAUUAACCUGCUGUUAGUUCAAAAGUUUGCAUCAACUUUUUUUUCACAUAGCUAGCCAGCUUUUACUUGUGGCAGAGCUUGUAAUUUAACUCUGUGCGCGACCACCGCCAAUUUAUUUCCCAUGGUCAGUAGUAAGACUGUAGCUAGCACUGGUGCCGUUGGUCAAAGAGGAUCACUGCAAAGCUCUGGCCGUUUUGAUGUGCACCAAUUUGUCUCUCACACGCUCCCUUUCUCUGUCGGCCCGCCUUCAUUCAUCUCUCGCUCAUUACUGCAUGCAUAUAUGCGUUGUUGCUUUCACAUACGAUCGACCAUUGGAUCGGCAGCUGCGCAUGCAUGGCUGUCCAUGAUGCUCCCUAGCCCUAGCAGCUAGCUAGCUAGCUAGCUGGCUCUAUAUAACUGGAGGAUCUAGCCAGCUCCAGCUUCCAUCCCAGUCCCAUCCUCGUCCUAGCAAACCUCAAAGACAUAGACUAUACGAACACACGGCAUUUGGCAGCUGAUAGAUCGAGUUGUGUGUGUGCGUGUGUGGGAGAUUGCCUGCGAGCUACAUACAUCAGUAUCUGCAGUAUGUCUAUCUAGCUAUAUUUCCCAGCAAUAUUUUUAGCUCAUGACAGGCUCUGCUGAUCGUUGCAUAUAUGAUUUGCAGGUAGCUAGCUAGAACAACUUCUUAGAACACAUAUAUAGCUAGCUGUCGUCGUUCUGCAGUUAGCACACACACAACCAAGCUACCUAGGAUCGAGAUAGCUAGAGGCGUUGAAUCCAUUGAUCGAAUCGCGAUCCGAUCCAUCCGAGCUAGCAUUAGCAAUAGCAUCGCCGUCCACAUGCCGCAGACACCUUCGACCCGCUGGUGCCCGACGCCGGAGCAGCUGAUGAUCCUGGAGGAGAUGUACCGGAGCGGCGUGAGGACGCCCAACGCGGCGGAGAUCCAGCAGAUCACGGCGCACCUGGCCUACUACGGCCGCAUCGAGGGCAAGAACGUCUUCUACUGGUUCCAGAACCACAAGGCCCGCGAGCGCCAGCGCCUCCGCCGCCGCCUCUGUGCCCGACACCAGCAGCAGUACGCUCAGCAGCAGCAGCAGCAGGCCACCGCAGCAGCGCCGUCUUCGAGCCCUCUUCCGUCUCCAGCAGCAGGCGGCAGCAGCGCUGGUGUGCAUCCGGCGGUGAUGCAGCUGCACCAGCACCACCACCCAUACGCAACCAACUUCGUGCCACACCUGGUUAGGAAUUUUAAUUGUUCACGUUCCAGUAUUAUUCUAGCUAAGAAUCUUCAAAGUAUCAAUUUUAAUUUUGCAGAAGCUUGCUAUAAUUGCAUGCUUGAUAAUGUAUCUAUAUGUCCAUAUGUUAAUCAAUCGAUUAUUAGGGCUACUUGGGACAGCAGGCGGCGACUGUUCCGCCAGUGCUGAACCCAGCUGCUGCCGGCAUGGUGGACCUUGCAGCUGCAGGAGCAGGAGCAGGAAAUAAGGCUACUGGUGCAGGUGGUGGCUAUGGAGGUGGAGCUGCCUUAUACAACAGCUGCAGCAGCAAUCAGCUGGAGGAGUGGGACCCCGCUGAGGCCAUGGAGCACUGCAACGCUAGCUGCGGUGCCGCAUCGGGCAGCUCCGACGAGGGUGGCGCAGCUCAUCUCCAGCUGCCGCCAUGCUGCCGCCGCCCUCUCAAGACCUUGGACCUGUUCCCCACUAAGAGCACUGGGCUCAAGGACGAGUGCAGCAGCUCCAAGUCCUCCUCUUGCUCCACAUCCACCAACUAAUUAAUCAUUAUUAUUGAAUCCCUUUAGUUUCUAUAUAUCUUGCUUCUAGUAGUUCUUUGAUUUGCUAGCUAGCUAGCUAGAGUUAGUAGAUUUGGUCUUCUCAAGUGUGCCAUUAUAUUGUUGUGUUGUGUGUGCUCGCAAAAAAAUUGUUGUGUUGUGUGUCACGCUACCUCUACUUUGCUUGUUAGUGUAACUACGUUUAAGUUUCAGUGCUCGACUUCAAUCUAUGUGUAUCUAUCUUAAUUCAUGCAAUGGAUUUGUUUUAGCAGACUGUGACCUAUAUGCUCCAUUUACUCAAUAGCGAUGAGCGAAUGAACGGAUCGGAUGACUUAUAAUAUAUGGCUAUAUAUGGUUUACCUUCUUCCUCUUCUCUAGUGAUGAUUCCUUUAUUAUUGAGAGUAUAUAAAGUCUAGUCGUUAUCUUCUCCUAAAGUUAAUUGCAAUGUGAAGGGAUGAAGACUAAGAAAUUGCCACAUCAACUCAGAUUAUUCAUGCAACUCCAUAAGCAUGCACUGGACAAUGAUUUUUUUGAGUCAAGAGUGUAUGUGAAUAAAUCCCCACACACCACAACAUUUCAAAGGAAAAAAAAGACUUGCCACUUGCAUGGGAGUGCUAAUCAUUCCUUUGAAUAAGAAAUACAUUUUAUUAGGAUGUGGGAGUUCUAAUCAUUAUUUUGAAUCAACCAUACAUCACCAAAAGCGGCAUUUCUCAAUUAUCAGGACUCAAGGAUGUAAGGAUGUGCUUCAGUCUCCCACCAAAUUUCAGAAUAUUUUGACAAAAUUUGAGUAUUCCUUCCAAAUUUUCAUAUGAUCGUAAAAUUUAUCCACAUACUUUCAAAUUUCUAAAGCUCUAAUAAUUUUAUUAAUACAAAUAUUAUUUUCGCAAUUGUUUCAAAUGAAAACAAAAUAAUGCCACUCCAUUAGCCUUGGUCGAUUUUAGUCCAUUUUGUUCCAUCCUCCGUCAUACCUUGUUUCAGCCCAUGCACCUUCUCAUUCCUUCACGGCUGAAAUGAGACAGGAGAGAGGAGGUAAAGAAAUUGGUUGAAAUCAGCACAAUGCUAAGGUAUUUUAUUUAUUUUUGAUUAAAAAUAAUUACUUCUUGAGCUCUAAAACGUAUAAGAACAUUUCAAAGUACAUUUAGGACAUGAAUAACUUGGAAAGUAUGCAUGUGCAACCAUGAUUACUAAGAAGAAUAAACAAUCCACCAUUCAUGACUCUGUUUAAUAGAUUUACAUAUCAAUGUAAAUUCUAUAAAUAAUUUAGUAAUUUAUUAUUUUUUAUGUUGCAGAAGACAUGUGUUUAUAGUUAGCACUGAUUUCUUGCAGCGACAAUUUACAUAAGAAACCAGCUCUAACUAGAAUAGGGAGCACCGUAGCUCAUGGUCACUUCAAAUCCAUUUGUAGGGGUAGUUUCUUUAAGAAAACUGUACCCUAAAAAAUAAUUUCUAGGUCUUAUGAGUGAAACAACGCUAGAAAUUUCUAGGGGUGUUUCUCUUAAUAGAACUGCCCCUAAAAAAUAAUUUAGAGGACUAGUCCAUUAUCUUAGUGAACCAUCCCUGAAAACUUCAUAUAAAUCCUCCUUUCUUCCUUGCAACAACUCUAUAUAUCACUAGGAGGCGGUGAUGCUUAAGUACUAGUUUUUUUUGACAACAUACAUGUUGAUAUUGUGGAUUGCUUGUUUUGGGAUGCCAUUUCAAUUUUUUCAGUAUCUUUUCUGUCUUAGCAGAAAGUUAGGAGAUCUUCAAUAGCAGUUGUAUGAAUAGCUAUGUUGUUAAGAAAUUGUUCCAACAAGAUGAGAUCAUCAUUCCUUCUCAAAGUUAAAGUCAAAAAUUCUCCCAGAGAGGAUAGAAAUACAUAUAAUAUUUUAGGAUCUGUUGGAUAAAGCACAACUCAUAAAAACUUACUAGAAAAGCAAGCCCAUGAGCUUGAACUUGAAAUUAUGGUUUGAACAGCACAACUCAUAGAUUAAAUUUCUAGAUUGCAUUAAGAAUUACAACUUUGGUACAGGCCAUGUUGACAUCCGAUGUUGAUUGAAAAUUCUAAACUAUAAAUUUCAAAAUUUGAGAGCUACAAACAAACUUUCUUAGACUCUAAAUAGUUUCAGUAAAAAGUUAUCAUAUAUGAAGUGGUAGAUUACGUCAAGCCCUGUAAUUUUGCUAUAAAGCUCAUCUUCAUCCAACUUCAUAUUAAAAAGUUUUAAGUUUUGUCAAACAAUAAUUUCUAAAUAUGGGCCACUUAAGAGUGCUACAUCAAUUAAUUGAUCUCUACAGCUGGCAUUAUUAGGAAGCUACUAUGUGAAAAUAACCAAUGAUAGGUGUGUGUUUGCCUAGGGACUCUAUGUACAUCUCAGUUAAUCAUGGCAUAUAUCUUCUAAAAUUACUUUGUAGUAAUGCUCGUGGUGUUGUUUCACUGAUGUUGUCUAGCAUAUGGGCUGGUUUGACCCUCUUGCAAUGGUUCAUCACUCGAGCUAGUCAUUUGUCUAGGGUGGACCAUGGAAUAUGGUGAAUUGGUGAGUGAUUUUUCUAGAUAUAAAGGAAACUUUAGUUUGAGAUGAAACAUUAUUGUGACCUCUGCUUAAGCUAGCUAUACACAACUAAAAUAAAAGAAUAAAAAUGAUAACAUGCAAGAAGAGUUUGACUCCACUAUUCUCUAAGCAAACUUAGAAUCUCAUACUCAACAUCCAGCUCAAACCACCAAUAUAACAAAUCUACAAUCUAACUUUUGAGAAAUUAAAGCUUAACAUCUUUGCAUCUAUUUGAAUGUAACAUGAAGUGAGGUGGUCAAAGUCCACAAAAGCUUUAUCAUCCUCUUGCAAAAGAAGUUGAUAUGCAUCAAAAGCAUCUCACAUGUAUAUGAAGUCCACUAGGUGUCCUCUAUUAACUAACCAACCAACAUGUAGCACAUGACUAGCAAUCACAAAUGAUGACUGAUAUGACUAGACAAAAUGAUCGUCAUUCAAUUGAGCCAUAGUUAGCUUCUUUCACAAGCCACAACAAUUUGGACUAUCUGCACAUGUGCUCAAGAUACCACUAGGAGAAGAUGUGUUGCUAAUAACACCUAAGGUCUCUCCCAAUGCAACACUUCCCUUGAGGAAAAGACAUCCAAGGAUAUCAUCAUUGCAUGACCGAUUGAAAGUUAUAGAGUUUUCUCUUAGAGACAUCCACACCCAAGUAGGAUUGUGAACACAUUAUGGAGAUGUGUCAUGUGUGUGAUGAAUGAUUGACACAAAUAUGAGAGGUUUGAGGCUUUCUUUGCUGAGUCAUAUUUCAUAUGUACUUGAUUAUGUUAAUGGUUAACCAGAGGUGUAUAGUGUGUUGUGUUUUGUUGUGCAACAUGUCUCUUGGCUUGUAAUGUGUAAGUGCUGAGAGCGCCAAGACGGUCGACAACAAUAGAGAAGGUCAAGUGUAAAGUCCAUGUGUGAUUGGUCGGGAGUGGUGAAGGACGGAUGAGAAGGCAUGGAUCAAGGGACUAGAGGCUAGAGGACAGACAAUGUGCAACUUACACUAGGCACAUGAAGAGCAAUAGUACAUGGGGAGACAACAUCAACCAAGUCAAGGAGGAGGAUGGUGUUGUGGCACUUGGCAAAGGUCAAACACGCAUCUACAUGGGUGAUGGACAUGGUGUCAGUCAAGUCAAUAAGGAAGGCAAAGGAAAGAGCUUGGCGGAGGUUGAACACAUGUUGAAAAAUCAUGGAGUCAUGCUUGGUGAGGUGUGCAUGAGGGUUUGCUAGUUUUGUCCUCAAAACUAGGGAUGGAGAGUUUGCUUGUUUGGACCUUGUUGAUAUUUCUUAACAUCAAGUUGUCAUCCCUAGCAAUGAUGCCAUAAAUGUCUUAUUGGUAUUUAUUCGUUUUCACUUGUAAUUGAGGAAACAUUAAAGUAAUCCGCAAGCACACAAAUUAUAUAUCAUUGUAGCAUUUCACCCAGGAGUAUUCCAUGUAUCGUUAUUUAUAUUUUUACCACAGGGAAUGACGGGCAAAGAAAUUAUAUUGAUAACUAAUAUUCUACUCACAACAUGGGUAAGAUAGAAAAUAAGAUAUAUAAAAGGCAAUGAUCAUUGACAAUAAAUAGUUAAUCACUCAGAGCACUCCUUUCUAUGGCAUUAGCAUGACUAAGUAGAUAUUAGAGAGACAAUUCCUAAGUCAUCCUUAAUUACAAUUCAAUGCAUAUGAUGAUUAGUGCAACUACACUUAGUAGUCAUGGAUAAGAUCAACUUUAUAUCUACACAUAAGGGAUAUUACUAAGGAAGAUUAAGAAUAGGGCAUGUCUUCCUUUGUAACUAGAUCCUACUUGUUGACCUAUAUUCGGGGAGUGGACUACAUAGGACUCAACAGGAGUGUCACAUCCGUGAUGUAAAAUAUAGGGUGUAUCCAUUGGUAAACAAUGUAUAAGCACCACGCUUACAUAAUAUCGACCACUCACACCAUGAUCAUUAGUGUGAGUGCUAUAUGAACUUAUGCUUGAAUAAAAUGAUCAUCUAGCUAUACUAAGUAUAUAAUCAAAGUAGACAAUGAACAUGAUAAUUAGGAACAUGAAUGAUAUUAAGAACAAUAUCAUACCAAUUGUAGCAAACAUAAAAAAGUAAUGAGACAUACAAAAGAGAGGGGGUACAAAGGCUAUACCAAGCCACACUCUUGACACGAUCAGGAAUCUAGGCAAAGCUUGCAUCUCUCUAGAUCUAACCUAGCUAGGUAUGCCCUAGAAUAUGGUGUAGUUUUGAGGAUUAGGGUUUCUGCCUUCUGCUUCUAACUUGAAUGGCUUGAAUGCCUGAGAGAGGGGGUAGGGGCUAUUAGAUAUACCCCAGAGCAUCAAUUCUUAGCUCUCAGAUCGUACAGACUUGAAAGAACAAUGUAGAUGCAACCUAGGAGGUGGUGGAG
Molecule: long non-coding RNA, 24007 nt
Filed under: Sorghum bicolor (sorghum)
Lineage: Eukaryota; Viridiplantae; Streptophyta; Magnoliopsida; Poales; Poaceae
Description: long non-coding RNA (SBIC_LNC007590)
Source: RNAcentral